This is a non-coding RNA of Hepatocystis sp. ex Piliocolobus tephrosceles, 759 nucleotides long. The record is from the annotation of a GenBank genome assembly. Lineage: Eukaryota; Apicomplexa; Aconoidasida; Haemosporida; Plasmodiidae.
AGUUCUUUCUUGAUUUCUUGGAUGGUGAUGCAUGGCCGUUUUUAGUUCGUGAAAUUUGAUUUGUCUGGUUAAUUCCGAUAACGAACGAGACCUUACCUUGCUAAUUAGCGAUAAAUACAAGAUAUUCUUAAUUUAAAAAUAAGAUAAUAAAAAAAAAAAAAAAAAGAAUUUGUUUAGAUUUUGCAUUUUUUAUUAAAAAAAUGUAUAUUUCUUUUACAGUAUUUUUUUUUUUUUUUUUUUUUUUAUUUUGUUUUUAUUAAGAAUGUAUUUAUUUAAAAUUUGAAAGCUUCUUAGAGGAACGAUGUGUGUUUAACACAAGGAAGUUUAAGGCAACAACAGGUCUGUGAUGUCCUUAGAUAUGCUAGGCUGCACGCGUGCUACACUGAUAUGUGUAACGAGUUUUACAUUUUACAGAGGUCAUAUUUAUAUGUGCCACUGUAAGAUCCUUCACUGAAAAGUGUUGGGUAAUCUUUGAUUGAAUACAUAUCGUGAUGGGGAUAGAUUAUUGCAAUUAUUAAUCUUGAACGAGGAAUGCCUAGUAAGCAUGAUUCAUCAGAUUGUGCUGACUACGUCCCUGCCCUUUGUACACACCGCCCGUCGCUCCUACCGAUUGAAAGAUAUGAUGAAUUGUUUAGACAAGAAGAAACAGAAGAUUUUUCUUUUGUUUUUUUUUUUUUGGAAAAACUGUAAAUCCUAUCUUUUAAAGGAAGGAGAAGUCGUAACAAGGUUUCCGUAGGUGAACCUGCGGAAGGAUCAUUA